GACAGCAGUAGCCGCGGGAAUACGUAGGGUGCGAGCGUUAAUCGGAAUUACUGGGCGUAAAGCGUGCGCAGGCGGUUACAUAAGACAGAUGUGAAAUCCCCGGGCUCAACCUGGGACCUGCAUUUGUGACUGUAUAGCUAGAGUACGGUAGAGGGGGAUGGAAUUCCGCGUGUAGCAGUGAAAUGCGUAGAUAUGCGGAGGAACACCGAUGGCGAAGGCAAUCCCCUGGACCUGUACUGACGCUCAUGCAGGAAAGCGUGGGGAGCAAACAGGAUUAGAUACCCGAGUAGUCCCUGUCUCUUAUAA
RNAcentral lists this ribosomal RNA (306 nucleotides) under uncultured bacterium. RNAcentral describes it as "partial 16S ribosomal RNA". It matches the Rfam family "Bacterial small subunit ribosomal RNA", at positions 507 to 809 of the family's 1533-position model. The record is from RNAcentral.